UACGUAGGCAGCAAGCGUUGUUCGGAGUUACUGGGCGUAAAGGGUGUGUAGGCGGUUCCUUAAGGUUGCUGUGAAAUCUCCCGGCUUAACCGGGAGGGUGCGGUGAAUACUGAGGGACUAGAGUACGGGAGAGGAAAGUGGAAUUCCUGGUGUAGCGGUGAAAUGCGUAGAUAUCAGGAGGAACACCGGUGGUGUAGACGGCUUUCUGGACCGUAACUGACGCUGAGACACGAAAGCGUGGGUAGCAAACAGG
Molecule: ribosomal RNA, 253 nt
Filed under: uncultured bacterium
Lineage: Bacteria
Description: partial 16S ribosomal RNA
Rfam family: Bacterial small subunit ribosomal RNA
Source: RNAcentral